Molecule: ribosomal RNA, 698 nt
Filed under: uncultured bacterium
Lineage: Bacteria
Description: bacterial SSU rRNA
Rfam family: Bacterial small subunit ribosomal RNA
Source: RNAcentral
AACGAACGCUGGCGGCAGGCCUAACACAUGCAAGUCGAACGAGACCUUCGGGUCUAGUGGCGCACGGGUGCGUAACGCGUGGGAAUCUACCCUUGGGUUCGGAAUAACUCAGAGAAAUUUGAGCUAAUACCGGAUGAUGUCUUCGGACCGAAGAUUUAUCGCCCAGGGACGAGCCCGCGUAGGAUUAGCUAGUUGGUGAGGUAAAAGCUCACCAAGGCGACGAUCCUUAGCUGGUCUGAGAGGAUGAUCAGCCACACUGGGACUGAGACACGGCCCAGACUCCUACGGGAGGCAGCAGUGGGGAAUAUUGGACAAUGGGGGAAACCCUGAUCCAGCAAUGCCGCGUGAGUGAUGAAGGCCUUAGGGUUGUAAAGCUCUUUUACCAGGGAUGAUAAUGACAGUACCUGGAGAAUAAGCUCCGGCUAACUCCGUGCCAGCAGCCGCGGUAAUACGGAGGGAGCUAGCGUUGUUCGGAAUUACUGGGCGUAAAGCGCGCGUAGGCGGCUAUCCAAGUCAGGGGUGAAAUCCCGGGGCUCAACCCCGGAACUGCCCUUGAAACUAGAUGGCUAGAAUACUGGAGAGGUGAGUGGAAUUCCGAGUGUAGAGGUGAAAUUCGUAGAUAUUCGGAAGAACACCAGUGGCGAAGGCGACUCACUGGACAGUUAUUGACGCUGAGGUGCGAAAGCGUGGGGAGCAAA